CCUACGGGAGGCAGCAGUAGGGAAUCUUCCACAAUGGGCGAAAGCCUGAUGGAGCAACGCCGCGUGGGUGAAGAAGGUCUUCGGAUCGUAAAACCCUGUUGUUAGAGAAGAAAGUGCGUGAGAGUAACUGUUCACGUUUCGACGGUAUCUAACCAGAAAGCCACGGCUAACUACGUGCCAGCAGCCGCGGUAAUACGUAGGUGGCAAGCGUUAUCCGGAUUUAUUGGGCGUAAAGGGAACGCAGGCGGUCUUUUAAGUCUGAUGUGAAAGCCUUCGGCUUAACCGGAGUAGUGCAUUGGAAACUGGGCGACUGGAGUGCAGAAGAGGAGAGUGGAACUCCAUGGGUAGCGGUGAAAUGCGUAGAUAUAUGGAAGAACACCAGUGGCGAAAGCGGCUCUCUGGUCUGUAACUGACGCUGAGGUUCGAAAGCGUGGGUAGCAAACAGGAUUAGAUACCCCAGUAGUC
RNAcentral lists this ribosomal RNA (465 nucleotides) under uncultured bacterium. RNAcentral describes it as "partial 16S ribosomal RNA". It matches the Rfam family "Bacterial small subunit ribosomal RNA", at positions 338 to 795 of the family's 1533-position model. The record is from RNAcentral.